RNAcentral lists this transfer RNA (72 nucleotides) under Blautia ammoniilytica. Its description in RNAcentral is "tRNA-Ile". It matches the Rfam family "tRNA". Rfam says of the family: Transfer RNA (tRNA) molecules are approximately 80 nucleotides in length. Their secondary structure includes four short double-helical elements and three loops (D, anti-codon, and T loops). Further hydrogen bonds mediate the characteristic L-shaped molecular structure. tRNAs have two regions of fundamental functional importance: the anti-codon, which is responsible for specific mRNA codon recognition, and the 3' end, to which the tRNAs corresponding amino acid is attached (by aminoacyl-tRNA synthetases). tRNAs cope with the degeneracy of the genetic code in two manners: having more than one tRNA (with a specific anti-codon) for a particular amino acid; and 'wobble' base-pairing, i.e. permitting non-standard base-pairing at the 3rd anti-codon position. The record is from RNAcentral. Lineage: Bacteria; Bacillati; Bacillota; Clostridia; Lachnospirales; Lachnospiraceae. RNAcentral also lists the same sequence under 1 other name.
CGGAACAUAGCUCAAUGGUAGAGCAGCUGGCUUAUAUCCAGCGUGGUGGUAGUUCGAUUCUAUCUGUUCCGA